RNAcentral lists this long non-coding RNA (1540 nucleotides) under Equus caballus (horse). Its description in RNAcentral is "lncRNA (ENSECAG00000056062.1)". Lineage: Eukaryota; Metazoa; Chordata; Mammalia; Perissodactyla; Equidae. The record is from RNAcentral.
CCAGUGGGACUCUUUUAUAUUGUCUCCCUUGAACCAACAAUUCUAGCCUUGGGAAUUUAACCCAGGAAAAAUCUCCCCAGUGGGGAAUCUUAACCCACAAUACUGGUUUAGACAAUUUUAGGCACAGGCAUGUUUUAAUGAGGUCACUCACCCAAAAGACAUCUGAUCCUGGAGAAGUUUCCUCUCUGAAAAGGAUAAAGAGUACCAGGGGGCCUGGGGUGCCACGGUGGGAAAGAGGAAUCCAAUCAGCUGAGCCUCCAGACAAAAUGUCUAAGCGGCCACUUAGGAUCAGUGAAAGACCCUGCACAAAGCCAGCGGCUCCAGAGCCUCAGGCAGGUGGUCACAAGACCUUCUCUCUUCUUGGUUGCCAAAAUUUGUUACCACACAAAUGGGGUUCUCCUACUUGAUGAAUAUUUUAAAAUAGAAGCCAAUUAUUAUGGCAUCAUCAUUUGGGAAAAGAAAUCAGCUUUAUUCUGUGUGAUUGAUCUGGAGGGAGAUGGGGGCAUGUACCCUCUGAUCUGUCUCCCCACUUCAGGAUUUGGGGCGAAAUUUAGAGGUUAGGGAGAACAGCCUGGCAUGUGGAAAUGCUUGCGGGACAGGUUUUGAUUGGUGGACUUCAAGUAUUUAUGGUCAGGUUCUAAACUUUUAUAGAAAUGUGAGGAAGUAAUUUUAACACAGGAUCUGCCUGAAUGAUGGACCCUGGCUUCUGAUAUGAAUCUGACUUUUAAGUUCUGGUCAUGCCCUGGUGCUUUCGUUCCAUGGGAAGGAGAAUCUCCAGUUUUGUGGUCAUUUCAGGUCAAGAUUUCUUCUUCUGCACAUGCUCUGGCUACAUGGCUUUGCAAAUUAUCUGAAAGACAAUUUAAUUACUGUUAAUAAGAUGGGGUCAGUUCAACUGGUCCUGGAGGGCAAAGGCCCUAUUUUCCACGAAGGUCACAUUCAAACACGUGAGGGGGUUAGGACAUGGACAUUUCUUUCCGGGGGACACAAAUCAUACCCACUACAAUGAGGCAAGAAAAUUGCCAAACUGCAUGUAAGAUGAGUUCUUAUCUUUUGUAGCUAAAAACGCACACAUACGCAAACAUGCAUAAAUAUAUAUAUAUGCUCGCAUAAGAAAACUGCUGGAAAAAAAUAAUGCAGAUGAAAACAUGCAGGGCUUCUCUUUGGGUGGUACGUUUUGGGGUAAUGAUAUUUUCCCGUUAUCUAUUUUUACCUAUAAUAAAUACUUAAUGCUCUUGCAACUAUAUAUUAGAAAAAGGAGGAGAGAAGCAAGAGCAUUCCCAGCCCACUCACAGAAAAGCCUUUAGAAUGGCAAUGUCCCUGAUGCACAGGAAGGUUUGGGAAACACAGUGAAGUCCAGUUAUAAAUAUAUAAUCAAUCAGCAAACCUACCACUCAUUAAUAUAAAAAGCUAUCACAUUUCUUCAUUUCCUCCCAUUAUAUUCUCUGUGCAUGCAUAGAUACAUCACCCGUGUAUUUCAUAUAUCUGAAGACUCAGAGUUGCUAUAGAUCAUGAAACCCGCAAUUAGAUGUGCCCAAGCUUA